Molecule: ribosomal RNA, 479 nt
Filed under: uncultured bacterium
Lineage: Bacteria
Description: bacterial SSU rRNA
Rfam family: Bacterial small subunit ribosomal RNA
Source: RNAcentral
GAACGCGUGGCGGCAUGCCUUACACAUGCAAGUCGAACGGCAGCGGGCCUUCGGGUGCCGGCGAGUGGCGAACGGGUGAGUAAUGCAUCGGAACGUGCCAUUGAGUGGGGAUAACGUAGCGAAAGUUACGCUAAUACCGCAUAUUCUGUGAGCAGGAAAGCAGGGGACCGCAAGGCCUUGCGCUCUUUGAGCGGCCGAUGUCAGAUUAGCUAGUUGGUGAGGUAAAGGCUUACCAAGGCGACGAUCUGUAGCGGGUCUGAGAGGAUGAUCCGCCACACUGGAACUGAGACACGGUCCAGACUCCUACGGGAGGCAGCAGUGGGGAAUUUUGGACAAUGGGCGCAAGCCUGAUCCAGCCAUGCCGCGUGAGUGAAGAAGGCCUUCGGGUUGUAAAGCUCUUUCGGCCGGGAAGAAAUCGCAUGAGUUAAUACCCUGUGUGGAUGACGGUACCGGAAUAAGAAGCACCGGCUAACUACGUG